Long non-coding RNA from Silurus meridionalis, 174 nucleotides. RefSeq lists it as uncharacterized. The transcript is spliced from 3 exons. NCBI's taxonomy places the organism in Eukaryota, Metazoa, Chordata, Actinopteri, Siluriformes, Siluridae. The record is from RefSeq and is a predicted model, not a curated record.
CAAAACUUAGGAUAAAAGUAGCGGCUUAUAGUCCGGAAAAUACAAUAAUAAUUGUAAAUUCUUUUUACUUUUUUAUUUUAUUUUAUUUUUUUUGUGUUUUUAUUUCAGCUGCAGCGUGGAUAGAAGGAGAUUUACAGUUACAGAUAGGAGAAGCUCUAGCACAGAUAUCAGAAG